CUGCUCCUCUUUGUCCCUUAUGCGGCACUGAACCGGAAACGGUUGAACAUACAUUCCUUCUCUGCCCUUGGUUAUCACAGCUAUGGGCCUCCCUGCAGGUUCAAGUGAAUCGAGUGGGUUUAUCCCGAUUUGAUGAAUGGUUGUAUAAGACUUAUACUAGAUCAAAGCACUUACAAAACUUCGAACUGAUUGCGAAUGCAUUAUGGUGCAUAUGGAAAGAUCGCAAUCACUUCAUAUUCAGAAAAAGUCCCCUUAACUUCCAGCAUACCCUGUUUAGAGCUAUCAGCUUACAAGACAGCUUCGCCACAUGGACUUCCAACGCAAAGAAACAGAUUAACGGAGCUGAUUUACAGAACAAAUGGCAACCCC
RNAcentral lists this long non-coding RNA (369 nucleotides) under Eucalyptus grandis. Its description in RNAcentral is "long non-coding RNA (EGRA_LNC007516)". The record is from RNAcentral. Lineage: Eukaryota; Viridiplantae; Streptophyta; Magnoliopsida; Myrtales; Myrtaceae.